GGACAUUUAGCUCAGUUGGUUAGAGUACUACCUUGACAUGGUAGGGGUCACAAGUUCAAAUCUUGUAAUGUCCA
RNAcentral lists this transfer RNA (74 nucleotides) under Fibrobacterales bacterium. Its description in RNAcentral is "tRNA-Val". It matches the Rfam family "tRNA". From Rfam's summary of the family: Transfer RNA (tRNA) molecules are approximately 80 nucleotides in length. Their secondary structure includes four short double-helical elements and three loops (D, anti-codon, and T loops). Lineage: Bacteria; Pseudomonadati; Fibrobacterota; Fibrobacteria; Fibrobacterales. The record is from RNAcentral.